UACGUAGGGUGCAAGCGUUGUCCGGAAUUAUUGGGCGUAAAGCGUGCGCAGGCGGUUCGCCAAGUCAGGUGUGAAAUCCCCGGGCUUAACCUGGGAAUUGCGCUUGAAACUAGCGGGCUUGAGUGUGGCAGAGGGGGGUGGAAUUCCACGUGUAGCAGUGAAAUGCGUAGAGAUGUGGAGGAACACCGAUGGCGAAGGCAGCCCCCUGGGUCAACACUGACGCUCAUGCACGAAAGCGUGGGGAGCAAACAGG
Molecule: ribosomal RNA, 253 nt
Filed under: uncultured bacterium
Lineage: Bacteria
Description: partial 16S ribosomal RNA
Rfam family: Bacterial small subunit ribosomal RNA
Source: RNAcentral